This 600-nucleotide ribosomal RNA is filed under the name uncultured Vibrio sp. Its description in RNAcentral is "SSU rRNA". It matches the Rfam family "Bacterial small subunit ribosomal RNA", at positions 519 to 1118 of the family's 1533-position model. Lineage: Bacteria; Pseudomonadati; Pseudomonadota; Gammaproteobacteria; Vibrionales; Vibrionaceae. The record is from RNAcentral.
GGUAAUACGGAGGGUGCGAGCGUUAAUCGGAAUUACUGGGCGUAAAGCGCAUGCAGGUGGUUUGUUAAGUCAGAUGUGAAAGCCCGGGGCUCAACCUCGGAAUAGCAUUUGAAACUGGCAGACUAGAGUACUGUAGAGGGGGGUAGAAUUUCAGGUGUAGCGGUGAAAUGCGUAGAGAUCUGAAGGAAUACCGGUGGCGAAGGCGGCCCCCUGGACAGAUACUGACACUCAGAUGCGAAAGCGUGGGGAGCAAACAGGAUUAGAUACCCUGGUAGUCCACGCCGUAAACGAUGUCUACUUGGAGGUUGUGGCCUUGAGCCGUGGCUUUCGGAGCUAACGCGUUAAGUAGACCGCCUGGGGAGUACGGUCGCAAGAUUAAAACUCAAAUGAAUUGACGGGGGCCCGCACAAGCGGUGGAGCAUGUGGUUUAAUUCGAUGCAACGCGAAGAACCUUACCUACUCUUGACAUCCUCAGAAGAGACUGGAGACAGUCUUGUGCCUUCGGGAACUGAGAGACAGGUGCUGCAUGGCUGUCGUCAGCUCGUGUUGUGAAAUGUUGGGUUAAGUCCCGCAACGAGCGCAACCCUUAUCCUUGUUUGC